This 466-nucleotide ribosomal RNA is filed under the name uncultured bacterium. RNAcentral describes it as "partial 16S ribosomal RNA". It matches the Rfam family "Bacterial small subunit ribosomal RNA", at positions 28 to 507 of the family's 1533-position model. The record is from RNAcentral.
GACGAACGCUGGCGGCGCGCCUGACACAUGCAAGUCGAACGAGCGAGAGAGAGCUUGCUUUCUUGAGCGAGUGGCGAACGGGUGAGUAACGCGUGAGGAACCUGCCUCAAAGAGGGGGACAACAGUUGGAAACGACUGCUAAUACCGCAUAAGCCCACGGUGCCGCAUGGCACAGAGGGAAAAGGAGCAAUCCGCUUUGAGAUGGCCUCGCGUCCGAUUAGCUAGUUGGUGAGGUAACGGCCCACCAAGGCGACGAUCGGUAGCCGGACUGAGAGGUUGAACGGCCACAUUGGGACUGAGACACGGCCCAGACUCCUACGGGAGGCAGCAGUGGGGAAUAUUGCACAAUGGGGGAAACCCUGAUGCAGCGACGCCGCGUGGAGGAAGAAGGUCUUCGGAUUGUAAACUCCUGUUGUUGGGGAAGAUAAUGACGGUACCCAACAAGGAAGUGACGGCUAACUACGUG